Molecule: ribosomal RNA, 497 nt
Filed under: uncultured bacterium
Lineage: Bacteria
Description: partial 16S ribosomal RNA
Rfam family: Bacterial small subunit ribosomal RNA
Source: RNAcentral
GAUGAGCGCUGGCGGCGUGCCUAAUACAUGCAAGUCGAGCGAACAGACGAGGAGCUUGCUCCUCUGACGUUAGCGACGGACGGGUGAGUAACACGUGGAUAACCUACCUAUAAGACUGGGAUAACUUCGGGAAACCGGAGCUAAUACCGGAUAAUAUAUUGAACCGCAUGGUUCAAUAGUGAAAGACGGUUUUGCUGUCACUUAUAGAUGGAUCCGCGCCGCAUUAGCUAGUUGGUAAGGUAACGGCUUACCAAGGCAACGAUGCGUAGCCGACCUGAGAGGGUGAUCGGCCACACUGGAACUGAGACACGGUCCAGACUCCUACGGGAGGCAGCAGUAGGGAAUCUUCCGCAAUGGGCGAAAGCCUGACGGAGCAACGCCGCGUGAGUGAUGAAGGUCUUCGGAUCGUAAAACUCUGUUAUUAGGGAAGAACAAAUGUGUAAGUAACUAUGCACGUCUUGACGGUACCUAAUCAGAAAGCCACGGCUAACUACGUG